This 441-nucleotide ribosomal RNA is filed under the name Streptococcus mitis. RNAcentral describes it as "bacterial SSU rRNA". It matches the Rfam family "Bacterial small subunit ribosomal RNA", at positions 28 to 463 of the family's 1533-position model. The record is from RNAcentral. Lineage: Bacteria; Bacillati; Bacillota; Bacilli; Lactobacillales; Streptococcaceae.
GACGAACGCUGGCGGCGUGCCUAAUACAUGCAAGUAGAACGCUGAAGGAGGAGCUUGCUUCUCUGGAUGAGUUGCGAACGGGUGAGUAACGCGUAGGUAACCUGCCUGGUAGCGGGGGAUAACUAUUGGAAACGAUAGCUAAUACCGCAUAACAGUAGAUGUUGCAUGACAUUUGCUUAAAAGGUGCAAUUGCAUCACUACCAGAUGGACCUGCGUUGUAUUAGCUAGUUGGUGGGGUAACGGCUCACCAAGGCGACGAUACAUACCGACCUGAGAGGGUGAUCGGCCACCUGGGACUGAGACACGGCCCAGACUCCUACGGGAGGCAGCAGUAGGGAAUCUUCGGCAAUGGACGGAAGUCUGACCGAGCAACGCCGCGUGAGUGAAGAAGGUUUUCGGAUCGUAAAGCUCUGUUGUAAGAGAAGAACGAGUGUGAGAGUG